RNAcentral lists this ribosomal RNA (279 nucleotides) under uncultured bacterium. RNAcentral describes it as "partial 16S ribosomal RNA". It matches the Rfam family "Bacterial small subunit ribosomal RNA", at positions 506 to 784 of the family's 1533-position model. The record is from RNAcentral.
UGCCAGCAGCCGCGGUAAUACGGAGGUUGCAAGCGUUAUUCGGAUUAACUGGGCGUAAAGCGUACGUAGGCGGUCUGGACAGUCUGAUGUGAAAGCCCACGACUCAAUCGUGGAAGUGCAUUGGAUACUACCAGACUAGAGUGUCGGAGGGGAGAACGGAAUUCCUGGUGUAGAGGUGAAAUUCGUAGAUAUCAGGAGGAACAACGGCGGCGAAGGCGGUUCUCUGGACGACAACUGACGCUGAGGUACGAAAGCGUGGGGAGCAAACAGGAUUAGAUA